UAAAUCGAAUUUUUUUUCUGAGAAAUCUCUUUCUCCAUCGUUAAAUCUUCGUGAUCGAGAUUUCUCAGAAAGAUGUCUUCGUGAUUGAAUCAUAAAUUUGCAAAGCAAACCCUAUUUUAUUGCUAAAAUUAGGUGGAAACCUAGGAUACAGAACGACCUUUAAUAUAUAUGUGCACACAACCUCGAAUCAUUGCUAUUUCACACGGUUGUACUGGAGUAGCAGCACGAGCCUGCGGCCUGGUGGGUCUAGAACCUACUAGGGUCGCAAAAAUCCUCAAAGAUCGGCCUUCAUAGUUUUGCGAUUGCCGAGCUGUGGAUGUUGUAAACGCGCUGCCCACUCCGCAUGGUGGAACCAUGGAGCUGCUAUACAUGCAGCUGUAUGCCCCAACAACAUUGGCUCCUGAUCGUGAUUUCUGGUUGCUGCACUAUAAUUCUGUGCUAGAGGAUGGUAGUCUUGUGGUCUGCGAGAGGUCGCUUAGCAGCACGCAGGGAGGUCCAAGCAUGCACCAAUACAGCAUUUUGUAAGAGCAGAAAUACUGUCAGGUGGGUACCUCAUAAGGCCCUGUGAUGGGGGUGGAUCAAUAAUACAGAUUGUUGAUCAUAUGGAUUUGGAGGUACAUGCAUUCACCUAUUGUUGAAUACCUAUAGCUGGUAGCCGAUCAAUGCGAACGACGAACCUUUUACAACACCCAAAUAACAUCAAACUUAAAUUCCUGAACCAGCCACCCAGUACCAGAGGUGUUGCGCCCACUGUAUGAAUCUUCAACUGUACUAGCUCAAAAGACUACAAUGGCGGCUUUACGCCAGCUGAGGCAGAUUUCCUUGGAGGUGUCUCAAUCAACUGUCACUGGUUGGGGUAGGAAGCCUGCAGCUCUACGUGCACUUAUUCAGAGGCAUAUAUAGCAGAGGUUUUAAUGAAGCUCCCAACGGCUUUACUGAUGAGGGAUGAUCAAUAAUGGGCUGUGUUGCAACGAUACGGAUACGGUAUCGGAUACAAGAUACCAAUACGCUACUAUGAUACACCAACUUGAAAAACUAAAAUACGGCGAUACGGCAUACUCAAUAUUGAUCAGUAGUUUAACAUAAAUAUAUUAUAUAUAAGAUAGAAACUUAACAAAAUACAUACAUGUGUUUGCAUGAUUAAAAUAUAAUUUGUAUGAUUAACCUCACUGAAGAGAGAAAAAGUCUGGACAACAAAGGAAGAAAGUCUAGAGCAAGAUCAGUGGACAGAUUCAGAACUAAUAUUUUGUCACUAUAGUUAAAACUUCUCAUAGAAUCUAGUAAAAUAUCUAAAUUUUCUAAUAUUUAGUCAAAGUUUUCCAACUGAGUUGUAUCUUGAAGUAUUGGGAGUAUUAGUACGCGUAUCCGUGUAAAUACGUAUCGAUACGGCUGAUUUUUUUUGUUUAGGCGUAUCGUUGUAACACAGAUAAUGGGAAAUGACGGGAUAGAUGAUGUCACCAUCCUCGCCAAUUCAUCUCGUGGAAAAUUGAUAGGGGGCAAAUAACUCUUUCAUCAACUGGAUUUCAGCUCUGAGUAAUGCAGUACUAUGGGCUAAGGCAUCCAUGCUUUUGCAGGGUGCCUGGCUUUUCUUUCGACCUGCACACAUGAUGAAUACUGGGGUUGUAGACAAUGCAUUUCGUUCUUUAGAUCUAGGCAAUUUUCAAGUAAUAGCUGGCCAUUAAUGAGUGUUGCUAUGUAGGGCGCAGGGUAUGAGAGAUGUAAAUAGUUGAAAUUUUAUGUGAACAACUUGAUUUCAUGAAUGAGAAUCUAUUAUGGGAUAAAAUGCAGUGUGAAUGAAUGUGUAACAGGGUAAAGGGAAAGGUAUCCUGCCAAAAGAACUAGAAAAGUAAAUAUUCAAACUUUCAAACUUUAGCAACGGUUUUACACACCAAAACAGCCUUUUUGUGGCUUUUAUAAACGUUGCGCAUAUUUUCU
This is a long non-coding RNA of Papaver somniferum (opium poppy), 1935 nucleotides long. RefSeq lists it as uncharacterized. The transcript has 8 exons. Lineage: Eukaryota; Viridiplantae; Streptophyta; Magnoliopsida; Ranunculales; Papaveraceae. The record is from RefSeq and is a predicted model, not a curated record.